AGCGAACGCUGGCGGCAGGCCUAACACAUGCAAGUCGAACGGACCCUUCGGGGUUAGUGGCGGACGGGUGAGUAACACGUGGGAACAUGCCUUUAGGUUCGGAAUAGUUCCUGGAAACGGGUGGUAAUGCCGAAUGUGCCCUUCGGGGGAAAGAUUUAUCGCCUUUAGAGCGGCCCGCGUCUGAUUAGCUAGUUGGUGAGGUAACGGCUCACCAAGGCGACGAUCAGUAGCUGGUCUGAGAGGAUGACCAGCCACACUGGGACUGAGACACGGCCCAGACUCCUACGGGAGGCAGCAGUGGGGAAUCUUGCGCAAUGGGCGAAAGCCUGACGCAGCCAUGCCGCGUGAAUGAUGAAGGUCUUAGGAUUGUAAAAUUCUUUCACCGGGGACGAUAAUGACGGUACCCGGAGAAGAAGCCCCGGCUAACUUCGUGCCAGCAGCCGCCGUAA
RNAcentral lists this ribosomal RNA (449 nucleotides) under uncultured bacterium. RNAcentral's name for it is "partial 16S ribosomal RNA". It matches the Rfam family "Bacterial small subunit ribosomal RNA", at positions 29 to 523 of the family's 1533-position model. The record is from RNAcentral.